UUUGAUGUGAGAAGCACGUUGUGUGUUUGU
Molecule: non-coding RNA, 30 nt
Filed under: Rattus norvegicus (Norway rat)
Lineage: Eukaryota; Metazoa; Chordata; Mammalia; Rodentia; Muridae
Source: RNAcentral